AAAGCCCCCUGCUGUUCAUGGGGUUUGCCCCAAAUGUGGUCCGGGUGCUACUCUGGGGCUUCCUGCUUCGUGGAGGUGGUAUAGAAAGCAACGUAUGUAGCAACUAUCGCUAAGAUAUUUAGUAGUACAAAGACAGUAAAACCAUUCUUCCUUUUGCUUUUCAGUCGAGUGACUCAGCUUAGAUAUGGAGCAUCCUUUCCUUCUGAUGGUUAAAACAGUAACAAACCAGACGUAGCACUUUGCACCUGUGCAUGCCAAGGCAUUCUUAGUGGAUUUCAAGUGCUUUCUGCGCAAGGUGAAGCAGGCGUUCAGAGGAAGCCACCCAAAUAUUUACAUUCCAGACAAAAAAUAAAGUCUUUGUAGUCAUUAAAUGUGCUCAUUUAGCAUUUACUGACUGUGGUCCAGCAAACUCAUUUCCCCAAAGUCAAUGCCAACGGUGUGGGAUGUGAAGGCAUUCUUAGUAUCCCUUUGCAUCGUCUGGGCUCAGGAUGAGCCCAUUGAGAGCAGAAGGUGCACUGAGCACUGUUCAGUGGCCGGGAACGUGCUUUGGCCUAAUGAAAUACAAAAAUAGGUCUAAGUGAUGAGUUGGGAGGUGUUAAUAUGCUUCCUUAUUAAGGUUCAAAAUGAUUCGUAAACUUAGUUGCAAGUUUCUGGAAUAGCUCUGUGAAAACAGAAUGCCAUAUUUGUAUGUGACCUGCUGAGAAAGCUGCAGCCAACGCCUGUCUUAAUGCUCUGUUCAGCUCUCCUCUUUGCAGAGCUCUCUAGCAGUGUAACUGAUGGUUUUCCAGUCUGCUGGGAAUUUCAUUGGCUGUGCAUGGAAUUUCCUAUGAUUACUUUUUUUUUUCCCAAGCUUUGUCCUUCUGAGCUCUUAGGCUCAGUCCUGAAUGGGUAUUUGUCACUGCAGUCACGGUAAGAACUUGUCAGACUGGAUUUCUGCAGCAAUGUGAAGGGGAGUAAUCCAAAGUGUUCCCUGGGUCUGAGGGUGAAUACAUUUGGAAUGUAUAUGACUUACGGUGAGAUAUUGCUAAGGUAGUUCUAGUCACAGAGCAGGAAAGCUUGUUUACAGAGAAAAACAAGCUUUAAUUGUCUUCAGCCGUGAGAAUCUGGUGUUACUCACCGGCUAAACUUAAUGUAUUUCUUCUCUGUCACCUACUGAAGGUGUGAUCUGUCCCAUGAAACCGCUGCAGAUCCUUAUGCCGAUGUCCUCAGAGAACCCUUGGACUCAGAGCACUCAUUUUUUGUCUUCAGUUUAGACUGAAUUUGUCAGAAUGCUGUUGGAGCGUACUGAGUGGUAACAAAACUCCAGGAAAGAAGGCAGUUCGGAAAUCAAAGUGUAAAUGGACAGCAGAAAACUGCCCCUAUCUGAGCAACAACUCAGGUUCGCAACGGAACUUGGGAAUAAGGAGAUGUGUGGGAGGUGCAGUGAUGGGAGGAGCUGUGGCUCCUGGCAGGAGUGUUCCCAUACAGGCAGGGAUGGGGGCUGACUUCCAUGCUGGUGUCAGUGAGGAUGGCCGGGCUGUGUCCUGCUGCUGAGCCGCUGUGCUGAGGGCGAGGAGUGGCAGAAAGACCUCGGACAGGGUGAGCAGCCCACAUCCUUGCUCCCAAAUGGAAGUUGUGUAUGCGAGCACCCUGCAGCUGGGAAAACCCUUGGGAACAGGUGAGUGCUUGGGACCUGAUGUGACAAACCUCAGUAUGGGGUUUGGAGCAAUUCAGGGCUGGUUCCAGCCCCAUUGGCUGUCAGUGGGCUGCAGCAGCUGUGUCUGUGUGGGUCCAUGCCAUUCCACUGUGGAGGAGUAGCUGUG
This 1802-nucleotide long non-coding RNA is filed under the name Gallus gallus (chicken). RNAcentral's name for it is "lncRNA (ENSGALG00010022714.1)". The record is from RNAcentral. Lineage: Eukaryota; Metazoa; Chordata; Aves; Galliformes; Phasianidae.